This is a long non-coding RNA of Corvus hawaiiensis (hawaiian crow), 816 nucleotides long. RefSeq lists it as uncharacterized. The record is from RefSeq and is a predicted model, not a curated record. NCBI's taxonomy places the organism in Eukaryota, Metazoa, Chordata, Aves, Passeriformes, Corvidae. The transcript is spliced from 3 exons.
UCGCCAGGAAAGGGAAAGCGAAAGCGGAGCGCGGUGUCACACGGAGGAGCGGGGCCGCGGCUGGAGUGGGGCUGGGGGCGACGGGCGACCCCGCGGGAGUUCUGGUACACACUGCUGCUGGUGGAGCCAGAGUGUGAAGAAAAGGUCAGGAAUCUGAAGAGGCUCUUGAUACAUGGAUUGUAGUUGGAAGAGGCAGGGGAUGAAGGCAAGGCUGGGAAAUCCCCCCUCUUGGAAGCAGGGAUGUGCUUCUCAUGGAGCAGCAGUUGACUGUCUCCACACCCAGCAGCUCUGGCUACAGAUGGCCAUGGGAGAACUCUCACUGGGGUGUCUGAGGUGACAAGAGGACACCACAGGGACAAGUGGAAUAAAGAGGUUUGAGUUAGUUCUGAAUUUGAGUGGAGGUUUACAGCCAUGGCUUUGCAACUGGUGAAGAUUAAGAUCUUAAUUUCCUGUGCAUUCUGCAGCCAGAAUACAACCUGUGUCUGCUCUGUAAGAGCUCUGGAAAUGCCAGCAUGCUGGGUGUGUGAGAAGUGUAUUCAUUUUGACGGAACAAGCCAUCCACCUUGAUACUCAGCUGUGCUGGGGUGGGAUGAAGGACACUUUACACCUUACAUCGUCUCGCUCUUGGAGAUUUUGGCCUUGCUCACACUCCUGUUACCACUUGAUUUAUCUUCACUGAUGUGCAGACACCAACCCUACCAAGACCAUUAUCAGACAAUCUCUGGAUUCCACUGGCCAAAUGCUUGAAGGUGGGAGUCUGCAGCAAGGGCUUCCCUCUACCUGAUAGUAAAUAAAGCCCAACCUCUGCCGAAUUAA